Molecule: long non-coding RNA, 4479 nt
Filed under: Sus scrofa (pig)
Lineage: Eukaryota; Metazoa; Chordata; Mammalia; Artiodactyla; Suidae
Description: lncRNA (ENSSSCG00025047298.1)
Source: RNAcentral
UACACCACAGCUCACAGCAACAAUGGAUGCUUAACCCACUGAGCAAGGCCAGGGACCGAAUUGGAGUCCUCAUGGAUGCUAGUUGGUUUAUUAACCGCUGAGCUGCAAUGGGAACUCUACCCCACAAGCUUUAAAACGGCCCAUAUGGUGGGCCUUCAGCAGCAGACCCAACACACACGGUCACCCAGAGGGUGGGGACCAGCCCCAUGCAAGUCAUCAACCAGCGCCGCCUACAGAACAAACCCCUGUACCACAUGUUUGUCCCUAAGACUACUGUAAAACCAAAGGGGACCCCUGGGCACCUGGCAGGGUCAUGGGGAGGAACCCCACCCAUGCAUGGGGAUGGACCAAGUGGACUCUGGCCUCCCAAGGCAGGGCAAUGACACCUCAUCACAGAGGAAGUGGAGAAGGUCACCCAUCACUAUCACUAUUCUAGUCCAGGAGGUCAGAUCCACAAUGCGGAAGUUCCCAAGAGCAGGAAGCAGAGACUGAAAGAGACCCCCAGAAAGCCAGCUUAGGAGUCUGCAUGAUAGGAUGGGAAUGAAUAUAGGACAAGAAGGAAAUGUUCCAUUUCAGAUUUCCUCCCGGGGAAAAACCGUUCCGAGGAAAUACUUUGAUAAGCAGCCUGUGGUGUGGGGGCAAAAUUCCAGGAGCACGCACAAGUAAUAAGGACGGCAGACACACGUCCUUCUGAGCCCUGGAGGAUGCUCUGCUUCAUGGGAUUUGGGUUUGGGAGUUGGAGAGCAGGACUGAGGAAAGAGCUGGGAAGCUUGGCACAAAGAGGAGAGCGAUUCUGGAUCCUGAUAUGAUGAAGAGCCAGGUGUCCGGGCACCGCACAGAGGACAACUGGGAAUGACCAGCAGUGGUCCCUGGUAAUCAGAAGUUUCUACUGAGGAUGCUAGAAAGUCACUGUGCUGUGGCCCAGGGCUCAUCCCAAGUGCCUUUCAGGGUAAGGACUUCUGGAGUGCAAGGGCGAUGUGCCCAAGUGCCUUUCAGGGUAAGGACUUCUGGAGUGCAAGGGUGAUGUCUCGAAUGACACGUGAGCAAAUACCUCCAGCACGCCUAGAAGCAGGGGCCAGGGGAUGAGGCAGAGCUGGCCUCAGGCUGCAGAAAGAACACAGGGUAGGAGAUAGAGGCUUGAGGGCAAGGCCCAGCUCUGCAGCUAAUGAUGUUUGAGACCCAGAAAAGCUCCUUCCUGCUCUCUGCUUUAUUCACUCAACCCUAAAAAGGGCUCAUGGCCUUUCAGCCCUAACAGUCUAUGACUCUGAUUUUAGUUCAACCCUCUCCUCAACACAGCAUGGGAAGGAGGGGGCUAUUAGCAGAGCAUGUGUGCAUUUACAUGGAAUGGGUUUGCUGCCACUCCAGCAUAACGAACUUUCUCACAGAUUACAUGUGCAAGGAACUGCUCAGAUUGAACUGUAAGAUCACUUCGGAUGCACUAUUGAUUUUCAUUAUUUUCGUUUUCUCCAUCCCUGAGUUCCCAGCAAUCAUCCCCCAGUUUGAUGUCACCCAGAAGAAAAAUCUUGGCCUCCUCUUUCUAAUAAUCAGUUCAUAAAGUAUCCUUCAAAGACAAUCUUCUGGGAGUUCCCAUCAUGGCUUAGUGGAAACAAGUCUGACUAGCAUCCAUGAGGACGCAGGUUCAAUCCCUGGCCUCACUCAGUGGGUUAAGGAUCUGGUGUUGCCAUGAGCUGUGGUGUAGGAUGCAGGCUCGACUUGGAUCUGGUGUGGCUGUGGUGUAGGCCAACAGCUACAGCUCCGAUUCAACCCCUUGCUUGGGAAUCUCCAUAUGUCGCGGGUGCAGCCCUAAAAAGACAAGGAAGGAAGGAAGGAAGGAAGGAAAAAAGGAAGGAAGGAAGAAAAGAAGGAAGGAAAUCUCUGUUAUGAAAAAAUUAUCCUGCAAGAGCACAAGGGUGUUUGGGGCCUAGUAUGACUAUCCAUCUGGGAGCGCUCAGCAGCCCUUCUCCUUCAAGGCUCUUCCAAUACCAACUUUCCCACACCUUUCCCCUUGUUUCCCUGCAGUGACCGAGCCAUACACCCUCUAAGCAGCACCAGUUCUCCAGAAGGGUAAGCAAGUUGGAUUUCCGGCAAAGGAGACCUCUUCUGACUUGGCAAGGGCUAUGCAGGGGACUGAGGGUCCUUUUCAGCCUUUCUCUGGAUCCAUUUUCAUCCUAGGCGAGAUGAGCUCUGCACACAAACACUGGGAUGUUACUGUCGGACACUGCUCUGCCUCUGUCAUUGAGGGGCAAUCACAGGUAGCUGUGCACAGAAUGACUUCAACGAUAGAGCAACAAGAUGCACAACUCCAAGGCUAUUUUUUUUUUUUUUUACAAAGAAUAAAAACGAAAACUAGAAAGACUGGCUCACCUAAAAAACGUUCAGGACAGUGGGAAAUACGUCAAGGGACUAUGAUGGAGGGAAAGACCACAGAGAAGGGCGACUCCAGGGCUUAAUGGGUUGGCCUUGGGGACCUGAGACAAUGCAUUCAUUCAUAGGUGUACAAAGGCCCAGUCACUGUCCUAGGUGCUGAAUCCCUACAUAGCCAAAAACAGCCCACAAGGUCCCUACUCUCCCAGCACUUACAGUCUGGUAAGGGGAAACCAACAAUUCAGUCGUAAACAUACCAUAGACAAGAUGACACAGAAAACUGUAAAUGCUGUGAAGAAAACCAAACAGGAUGGAGUGAUUGAGAGACACCGGCAGAGUCAGAGAGGCCUCUCGCAUAGCCUGAGUGUUUAGCCUCUUUUCAGAGGUGACCUUCAGUAGCGACCUGUGGACUGAGAUCAAGGCAGCCAUGCAAAGAUCAGAACAAGGGCAUUCUGAACAUCAACGACAGACCAUACAAAGGUCCAUCGGUGACUUCCAGGGCAGAAACGAGGUCUGUGUGGCUAACACACAGGAUUUUUGUUUGUUUGUUUUUGCUGUCUUAGAAGUUUAGGAGGCAAUGCCUAAGAAAUAUAAGUGCCAGGAGCACUCCACUCUGCACCAUGAGACACAUUUUCGCUUUUGUUUGCCUAUGAUGAUUUUUUUCUCCCCCUACUUCUUUAGAAAAACAAAUGCUGAGCAGAGGUUAGGAACAAAUCUUGGCAUAAAUGUAAACAUCUACUCUGUGGAGACACAAGCAAGAAAUGUGUUUGUUUCUAAUCUGCAAAAGGUAGGAGAGGCCUUAACUCAACUGUUUGCUGGGAGACCCAGACUUUACACGUAUCCCAGUGGGUCCUGAAGCCAACUUAAUGGAUCGUCCUCGUUGAGGAUUCUAGUGUCUUUGGUGGAAGCGAGUGAGCAAAAGCAAACUGAGAUAUUAGAAGAGGCAAAAUAUCUAAGAAGAGAAACUGCAGAUAGAGUCGAGGAAAUGAAUGGGCUGCCGGCAGCAAAUAUCACUUCCGUGAUUCCUGGGAAGGAAUCACGUGACUACCUUCAGUGCGCUAGCUUGCUGCGUGGAUGGCCUCUAAUGAGGCACAGUUUCUAACCAGUUGGAUUUCACAUUGCUCAGUGCCAGCUUGGUGAUUUGUUUUGCAUGAAACACUGCAGCCUGUUAACCCAGUGAGUUACAGUUCUAGGUAGGCAGCCAGAAUCUCACAGCCCUGAAACCCUUUUUUCUUAAAAUAAAAAGUGAUGAGGAUGAGGAGGAUGACAAUAAAGGAAAUGAGUUCAAUCAGGUUACCAUCUUGAAAUCUUGAACGAGUCAGGCUAAAAUGACCCAAAUAAUGGACCUCCUUUUUUUUUUUUUUUUAAUCUUUUCUGGAUCAUGCCAGGGAAGAGCUCGAUCCAUUUUUCAACGUUUCUCUGCCCUCUCUGCUCUUGUUGGGGAACGAGGCCUCUCCAUUUCUUUCCUUUCGGGCUCAAGAUAAUUUAGAGUUCUGGAGGAAGCAGGACACUUUGGGACUCUGGCCUGGGACAGACUGAGUGGUGAUGCUGAGGUGUGAGAAUUCAGGAGCAGAGGCAUCACACUUCAUUCAUCUCCACUGUACAAUGUAAAUGUUCUCCUGUGUGUGACACCACAAAAGCAGGCGUUUUCUUCUUUGCGAGAUGGAACAAGAACCAUCCCUAGCCAUAGUCGGUAUGGGGUCUCUCUUGCUGAUUCAAAUGAACUUAAAACCUUGGGCUGAGUGGAGUCUGAUCCCCUGCACCUGCCUCACUGAGCUGCAUCAGUGUCUGACGUUUACCAGGAAACCUCUGUGGUUCCUCUCUCCACAUUCCUCCUCCUCCUCCUGGAACAGAAGGGAACAGACAGAGUAUACUAGCUUUGAUACCAGGAAGGCAUGUCCCUGCUCCCUUUACAAGGGGACAUUUGAUGGAUAAAAUAGCUCACAUUCAAGCUUCCUCUCCAACAGGUCAGGACAAGACAACUCAGUGGUCACAAAUGGAAGGUAGAAGGUGGGUCUUGGUUUGCUGAGUUUCAGCUGCAACUGUUAACCUCAACGGGAACUGUAGAGAGCUAAUCCGAACACUGGCUCCAUCAAUGCAUGUAACUUAAAUGAC